AGCGUACACGGUGGAUGCCCUGGCAGUCAGAGGCGAUGAAGGACGUGCUAAUCUGCGAAAAGCGUCGGUAAGGUGAUAUGAACCGUUANNNNNNNNNNNNCACUAUCGUUAACUGAAUACAUAGGUUAACGAGGCGAACCGGGGGAACUGAAACAUCUAAGUACCCCGAGGAAAAGAAAUCAACCGAGAUUCCCCCAGUAGCGGCGAGCGAACGGGGAGCAGCCCAGAGUCUGAAUCAGCUUGUGUGUUAGUGGAACGGUCUGGAAAGUCCGACGGUACAGGGUGAUAGUCCCGUACACCAAAAUGCACAGGCUGUGAACUCGAAGAGUAGGGCGGGACACGUGGUAUCCUGUCUGAAUAUGGGGGGACCAUCCUCCAAGGCUAAAUACUCCUGACUGACCGAUAGUGAACCAGUACCGUGAGGGAAAGGCGAAAAGAACCCCGGCGAGGGGAGUGAAAAAGAACCUGAAACCGUGUACGUACAAGCAGUGGGAGCACCUUCGGGUGUGACUGCGUACCUUUUGUAUAAUGGGUCAGCGACUUAUAUUCUGUAGCAAGGUUAACCGUAUAGGGGAGCCGCAGGGAAACCGAGUCUUAACUGGGCGUUAAGUUGCAGGGUAUAGACCCGAAACCCGGUGAUCUAGCCAUGGGCAGGUUGAAGGUUGGGUAACACUAACUGGAGGACCGAACCGACUAAUGUUGAAAAAUUAGCGGAUGACUUGUGGCUGGGGGUGAAAGGCCAAUCAAACCGGGAGAUAGCUGGUUCUCCCCGAAAGCUAUUUAGGUAGCGCCUCGUGAAUUCAUCUUCGGGGGUAGAGCACUGUUUCGGCUAGGGGGUCAUCCCGACUUACCAACCCGAUGCAAACUACGAAUACCGAAGAAUGUUAUCACGGGAGACACACGGCGGGUGCUAACGUCCGUCGUGAAGAGGGAAACAACCCAGACCGCCAGCUAAGGUCCCAAAGUCAUGGUUAAGUGGGAAACGAUGUGGGAAGGCACAGACAGCCAGGAUGUUGGCUUAGAAGCAGCCAUCAUUUAAAGAAAGCGUAAUAGCUCACUGGUCGAGUCGGCCUGCGCGGAAGAUGUAACGGGGCUAAACCAUGCACCGAAGCUGCGGCAGCGACACUAUGUGUUGUUGGGUAGGGGAGCGUUCUGUAAGCCUGCGAAGGUGACCUGUGAGGGUUGCUGGAGGUAUCAGAAGUGCGAAUGCUGACAUAAGUAACGAUAAAGCGGGUGAAAAGCCCGCUCGCCGGAAGACCAAGGGUUCCUGUCCAACGUUAAUCGGGGCAGGGUGAGUCGACCCCUAAGGCGAGGCCGAAAGGCGUAGUCGAUGGGAAACAGGUUAAUAUUCCUGUACUUGGUGUUACUGCGAAGGGGGGACGGAGAAGGCUAUGUUAGCCGGGCGACGGUUGUCCCGGUUUAAGCAUGUAGGCUGGUUGUCCAGGCAAAUCCGGAUAAUCAAGGCUGAGGUGUGAUGACGAGGCACUACGGUGCUGAAGUAACAAAUGCCCUGCUUCCAGGAAAAGCCUCUAAGCAUCAGGUAACAUUAAAUCGUACCCCAAACCGACACAGGUGGUCAGGUAGAGAAUACCAAGGCGCUUGAGAGAACUCGGGUGAAGGAACUAGGCAAAAUGGUGCCGUAACUUCGGGAGAAGGCACGCUGGUGUGUAGGUGAAGUCCCUGCGGAUGGAGCUGAGACCAGUCGAAGAUACCAGCUGGCUGCAACUGUUUAUUAAAAACACAGCACUGUGCAAACACGAAAGUGGACGUAUACGGUGUGACGCCUGCCCGGUGCCGGAAGGUUAAUUGAUGGGGUUAUCCGUAAGGAGAAGCUCUUGAUCGAAGCCCCGGUAAACGGCGGCCGUAACUAUAACGGUCCUAAGGUAGCGAAAUUCCUUGUCGGGUAAGUUCCGACCUGCACGAAUGGCGUAAUGAUGGCCAGGCUGUCUCCACCCGAGACUCAGUGAAAUUGAACUCGCUGUGAAGAUGCAGUGUACCCGCGGCAAGACGGAAAGACCCCGUGAACCUUUACUAUAGCUUGACACUGAACAUUGAGCCUUGAUGUGUAGGAUAGGUGGGAGGCUUUGAAGCGUGGACGCCAGUCUGCGUGGAGCCAACCUUGAAAUACCACCCUUUAAUGUUUGAUGUUCUAACGUUGGCCCCUUACCGGGGUUGCGGACAGUGUCUGGUGGGUAGUUUGACUGGGGCGGUCUCCUCCCAAAGCGUAACGGAGGAGCACGAAGGUUAGCUAAUCCUGGUCGGACAUCAGGAGGUUAGUGCAAUGGCAUAAGCUAGCUUGACUGCGAGCGUGACGGCGCGAGCAGGUGCGAAAGCAGGUCAUAGUGAUCCGGUGGUUCUGAAUGGAAGGGCCAUCGCUCAACGGAUAAAAGGUACUCCGGGGAUAACAGGCUGAUACCGCCCAAGAGUUCAUAUCGACGGCGGUGUUUGGCACCUCGAUGUCGGCUCAUCACAUCCUGGGGCUGAAGUAGGUCCCAAGGGUAUGGCUGUUCGCCAUUUAAAGUGGUACGCGAGCUGGGUUUAGAACGUCGUGAGACAGUUCGGUCCCUAUCUGCCGUGGGCGCUGGAGAAUUGAGGGGGGCUGCUCCUAGUACGAGAGGACCGGAGUGGACGCAUCACUGGUGUUCGGGUUGUCAUGCCAAUGGCACUGCCCGGUAGCUAAAUGCGGAAGAGAUAAGUGCUGAAAGCAUCUAAGCACGAAACUUGCCCCGAGAUGAGUUCU
This 2740-nucleotide ribosomal RNA is filed under the name Klebsiella pneumoniae. RNAcentral describes it as "bacterial LSU rRNA". It matches the Rfam family "Bacterial large subunit ribosomal RNA". The record is from RNAcentral. Lineage: Bacteria; Pseudomonadati; Pseudomonadota; Gammaproteobacteria; Enterobacterales; Enterobacteriaceae.